RNAcentral lists this ribosomal RNA (485 nucleotides) under uncultured bacterium. RNAcentral's name for it is "bacterial SSU rRNA". It matches the Rfam family "Bacterial small subunit ribosomal RNA", at positions 327 to 804 of the family's 1533-position model. The record is from RNAcentral.
CGCCUUAUACUCCUACGGGAGGCAGCAGUGGGGAAUUUUGGACAAUGGGCGCAAGCCUGAUCCAGCCAUGCCGCGUGUGGGAAGAAGGCCUUCGGGUUGUAAACCACUUUUGUCAGGGAGGAAACGGUCUGAUCUAAUACAUUGGGCUAAUGACGGUACCUGAAGAAUAAGCACCGGCUAACUACGUGCCAGCAGCCGCGGUAAUACGUAGGGUGCAAGCGUUAAUCGGAAUUACUGGGCGUAAAGCGUGCGCAGGCGGUUGUGUAAGUCAGAUGUGAAAUCCCCGGGCUCAACCUGGGAAAUGCAUUUGAGACUGCACAGCUAGAGUGUGUCAGAGGGGGGUAGAAUUCCACGUGUAGCAGUGAAAUGCGUAGAUAUGUGGAGGAAUACCGAUGGCGAAGGCAGCCCCCUGGGAUAACACUGACGCUCAUGCACGAAAGCGUGGGGAGCAAACAGGAUUAGAUACCCUGGUAGUCCACGUACCA